RNAcentral lists this ribosomal RNA (449 nucleotides) under uncultured bacterium. RNAcentral describes it as "bacterial SSU rRNA". It matches the Rfam family "Bacterial small subunit ribosomal RNA", at positions 330 to 795 of the family's 1533-position model. The record is from RNAcentral.
UCCAGACUCCUACGGGAGGCAGCAGUGGGGGAUAUUGCACAAUGGGGGGAACCCUGAUGCAGCGACGCCGCGUGGGUGAAGAAGUAUUUCGGUAUGUAAAGCCCUAUCGGCAGGGAAGAAAUUGGACGGUACCUGACUAAGAAGCCCCGGCUAACUACGUGCCAGCAGCCGCGGUAAUACGUAGGGGGCAAGCGUUAUCCGGAUUCACUGGGUGUAAAGGGAGCGUAGACGGCCAUGCAAGCCUGGAGUGAAAGCCCGGGGCCCAACCCCGGGACUGCUCUGGGAACUGUGCGGCUGGAGUGCGGGAGGGGCAGGCGGAAUUCCUGGUGUAGCGGUGAAAUGCGUAGAUAUCAGGAGGAACACCAGUGGCGAAGGCGGCCUGCUGGACGACAACUGACGGUGAGGCGCGAAAGCGUGGGGAGCAAACAGGAUUAGAUACCCCGGUAAAC